UUAUGGCUCAGGAUGAACGCUAGCGACAGGCUUAACACAUGCAAGUCGAGGGGCAGCAUAAAAGUAGCAAUACUUGGUGGCGACCGGCGCACGGGUGAGUAACGCGUAUGCAACCUACCUAUCAGAGGGGAAUAACCCGGCGAAAGUCGGACUAAUACCGCAUAAAACAGGGGCACCGCAUGGUGAUAUUUGUUAAAGAAAUUCGCUGAUAGAUGGGCAUGCGUUCCAUUAGGUAGUUGGUGAGGUAACGGCUCACCAAGCCGACGAUGGAUAGGGGAACUGAGAGGUUGGUCCCCCACACUGGUACUGAGACACGGACCAGACUCCUACGGGAGGCAGCAGUGAGGAAUAUUGGUCAAUGGGCGGGAGUCUGAACCAGCCAAGUCGCGUGAAGGAAGAAGGAUCUAUGGUUCGUAAACUUCUUUUGCAGGGGAAUAAAGUGCAGGACGUGUCCUGUUUUGUAUGUACCCUGAGAAUAAGGAUCGGCUAACUCCGUGCCAGCCGCCGC
Molecule: ribosomal RNA, 508 nt
Filed under: uncultured bacterium
Lineage: Bacteria
Description: bacterial SSU rRNA
Rfam family: Bacterial small subunit ribosomal RNA
Source: RNAcentral